AUUGAACGCUGGCGGCAUGCUUUACACAUGCAAGUCGAACGGUAACAGGCCUUCGGGUGCUGACGAGUGGCGAACGGGUGAGUAAUGCAUCGGAACGUACCCAGAGGUGGGGGAUAACGCAGCGAAAGCUGUGCUAAUACCGCAUGUGAUCUGAGGAUGAAAGCGGGGGACCGAGCAGCAAUGUUUGGCCUCGCGCCUUUGGAGCGGCCGAUGUCGGAUUAGCUAGUUGGUGGGGUAAAGGCCUACCAAGGCGACGAUCCGUAGCUGGUCUGAGAGGACGACCAGCCACACUGGGACUGAGACACGGCCCAGACUCCUAUGGGAGGCAGCAGUGGGGAAUUUUGGACAAUGGGCGCAAGCCUGAUCCAGCAAUGCCGCGUGCGGGAAGAAGGCCUUCGGGUUGUAAACCGCUUUUGGCAGGAACGAAACGGUCUCCGCUAAUACCGGGCGCUAAUGACGGUACCUGCAGAAUAAGCACCGGCUAACUACGUG
Molecule: ribosomal RNA, 492 nt
Filed under: uncultured bacterium
Lineage: Bacteria
Description: partial 16S ribosomal RNA
Rfam family: Bacterial small subunit ribosomal RNA
Source: RNAcentral